CCGAGUUUCCAAAACUCCCAAACCCACUGUGAACCUUACCAUAACGUUGCUUCGGCGGGACAGCCCCGGGCCCCCGCGCCCGGAACCAGGCGCCCGCCGGAGGCCCCAACAAACUCUCGUGUCUACCCCAGCGGCAUCUACGUCUGAGUGGCCCCGAAAGGGCAAGCAAAUGAAUCA
This 177-nucleotide unclassified non-coding RNA is filed under the name uncultured Hypomyces. RNAcentral's name for it is "sequence contains ITS1". The record is from RNAcentral. Lineage: Eukaryota; Fungi; Ascomycota; Sordariomycetes; Hypocreales; Hypocreaceae.